RNAcentral lists this ribosomal RNA (253 nucleotides) under uncultured bacterium. RNAcentral describes it as "partial 16S ribosomal RNA". It matches the Rfam family "Bacterial small subunit ribosomal RNA", at positions 524 to 776 of the family's 1533-position model. The record is from RNAcentral.
UACGUAGGGGGCAAGCGUUGUCCGGAAUCAUUGGGCGUAAAGCGCGUGUAGGCGGCCAGGUAAGUCCGUUCUGAAAGCCCGGGGCUCAACCCCGGGAGGCGGAUGGAUACUGCUUGGCUCGAGUCCGGAAGAGGCGAGUGGAAUUCCCGGUGUAGCGGUGAAAUGCGCAGAUAUCAGGAGGAACACCGGUGGCGAAGGCGGUUCUCUGGGCCUGUACUGACGCUGAGGAGCGAAAGCGUGGGGAGCGAACAGG